This 948-nucleotide ribosomal RNA is filed under the name uncultured bacterium gp6. Its description in RNAcentral is "bacterial SSU rRNA". It matches the Rfam family "Bacterial small subunit ribosomal RNA", at positions 8 to 937 of the family's 1533-position model. The record is from RNAcentral.
AGAGUUUGAUCAUGGCUCAGAAUCAACGCUGGCGGCGUGCCUAACACAUGCAAGUCGAACGCGGUUACCCCGCAAGGGGUAACUGAGUGGCGAACGGGUGAGUAACACGUGGGUGACCUACCUUCGAGUGGGGGAUAACGUCCCGAAAGGGACGCUAAUACCGCAUAACAUCCCGUCCUUGAACGGAUGGAGAUCAAAGCCGGGGAUCGUAAGACCUGGCGUUUGAAGAGGGGCCCGCGUCUGAUUAGCUAGUUGGUGAGGUAACGGCUCACCAAGGCAACGAUCAGUAUCCGGCCUGAGAGGGCGGACGGACACACUGGGACUGAGACACGGCCCAGACUCCUACGGGAGGCAGCAGUGGGGAAUUGUUCGCAAUGGGCGCAAGCCUGACGACGCAACGCCGCGUGGAGGAUGAAGGUCUUCGGAUUGUAAACUCCUGUUGCCCGGGACGAAAAGCUUCAACCUAAUACGUUGAAGUCUGACGGUACCGGGUGAGGAAGCCCCGGCUAACUCUGUGCCAGCAGCCGCGGUAAUACAGAGGGGGCAAGCGUUGUUCGGAAUUACUGGGCGUAAAGGGCGCGUAGGUGGCCUGCUAAGUCGAACGUGAAAUCCCUGGGCUCAACCCAGGAACUGCGUCCGAUACUGGUUGGCUUGAAUCCGGGAGAGGGAUGUGGAAUUCCAGGUGUAGCGGUGAAAUGCGUAGAUAUCUGGAGGAACACCGGUGGCGAAGGCGACAUCCUGGACCGGUAUUGACGCUGAGGCGCGAAAGCCAGGGGAGCAAACGGGAUUAGAUACCCCGGUAGUCCUGGCCCUAAACGAUGAAUGCUUGGUGUGGCGGGUAUCGAUCCCUGCCGUGCCGAAGCUAACGCAUUAAGCAUUCCGCCUGGGGAGUACGGUCGCAAGGCUGGAACUCAAAGGAAUUGACGGGGGCCCGCACAAGCGGUGGAG